Molecule: ribosomal RNA, 242 nt
Filed under: uncultured Porphyromonadaceae bacterium
Lineage: Bacteria; Pseudomonadati; Bacteroidota; Bacteroidia; Bacteroidales; Porphyromonadaceae
Description: partial 16S ribosomal RNA
Rfam family: Bacterial small subunit ribosomal RNA
Source: RNAcentral
CACGCAGUAAACGAUGAUUACUAGUUGUUUGCGAUACACAGUAAGCGACUGAGCGAAAGCAUUAAGUAAUCCACCUGGGGAGUACGUUCGCAAGAAUGAAACUCAAAGGAAUUGACGGGGGCCCGCACAAGCGGAGGAACAUGUGGUUUAAUUCGAUGAUACGCGAGGAACCUUACCCGGGCUUGAAAUGCAUCUGACGUAGGCAGAGACGCCUAUUCUCUUCGGAGCAGAUGUGUAGGUGC